UUCCUGUCUCCAUAAAUGAUAGCGGAAUCCUGUAAAACAUCAGGACGAGAUGUUGUCAAUCAGUGGACACUGGAGGACCACACAGGACAGAGGACAGUGACACCCCCAAAGCUCCAGGAACAGAUGCAUUUCCAUGUUAUUUGACUUGUGUAACACAUUGUUUUGUAGCAGCGGAGAAUGACUUGGGUCACGUGUCUGUCGGACAGUGAGCCUGUGAACAUGUUCCGAUGGAGCUCUGAGGUGAGACCUGUUCUCAGCAGGAACCGGAACGUUCCGUGGUUGCCGUGGUUACCGGAAUGUUCGUCUUCAAACUCACAUUGGAUCGGUCAGAGAAGCAGACAUCUCUACUCUCCCACGAAACCUUCAGACAGAUUCUCUGCCCCCAGAAGUCCACCAGAGACCAUCUGACGAAGUGUACAGAACCUUCUGCAGCACAGAAAUGGCCCGACGGUGCAGCUACACCAGCGUCCAGAUCCCGGACCCUCACCGGCCCGGCAUCCUGCGGACCAUCCUCAGGAUCAGAGGACCGGCCUCCCUGAUCGGCACCUCACCCGGUCCCCCACCUGACUGCGACCCCAGCAGCUGGGAUACUGCCCCUCCAUCCAGGAGCUCGGCGAGUCAACGCUUAACGUGGAGGACUUUCUCCAUCCUGGACCCCAACCGGCCCGGCAUCCCUCGGCUCAUCCUCCGUAGGUUCCCAGUCUCAAAACCCACGACUGGCUCCUCCACUAAAUCUUUCUGUAGCAUCCCCCCAAUUUCCACCCUAAGGCGACUUAAGAGAAGUGCCUCUAAUCCACUUCAACGACCAGGUAAGUCUUUCAGGGUAAGUCCUCCUGAACCACCUCAGGGACCAGGUAAGACUUUAAGGGUAAGUCCUCCUGAACCAAUAAUGAAAAGGAGCUGUGAUCGAGUGGAGUUCGUAAACCAGUUUAAAAGCUGGUGGAGCAACAGAUUCCCAGGAACUCUGGGUAAUGUUAAACACCAGGAAAAAGGUAUGUCUUAUAAGGUAAGGCCCUCUAGACGCCUCCAUGGACCAGGUGAACCUUUAAAAGUCAGGCUCCCAAAACCGCCACCUGGGGAACCUUUAAAGGUAAGUUCCCCUAAACCUCCUCAGGGACCUUGCAAACCUUUGAAGGUAAGUCCCCCUAAGCCUCCUCAGGGACCUUGCAACCCUUUGAAGGUAAGUCCCCCUAAGCCUCCUCAGGGACCUUGCAACCCUUUGAAGGUAAGUCCCCCUAAGCCUCCUCAGGGACCUUGCAACCCUUUGAAGGUAAGUCCCCCUAAACGUCCUCAGGGACCUGGGGAACCAUUGCAGGUAAGUCCCCCUAAACCUCCUCAGGGACCUGGGGAACCAUUGCAGGUAAGUCCCCCUAAACCUCCUCAGGGACCUUGCAACCCUUUGAAGGUAAGUCCCCCUAAACGUCCUCAGGGACCUGGGGAACCAUUGCAGGUAAGUCCCCCUAAACCUCCUCAGGGACCUGGGGAACCAUUGCAGGUAAGUCCCCCUAAACCUCCUCAGGGACCUGGGGAACCAAUCCAGGUAAGUCCCUCUAAACCUCCUCAGGGACCUGGGGAACCAUUGCAGGUAAGUCCUGGUGAGUGUCGGCCGU
This is a long non-coding RNA of Gasterosteus aculeatus aculeatus (three-spined stickleback), 1610 nucleotides long. The record is from Ensembl. NCBI's taxonomy places the organism in Eukaryota, Metazoa, Chordata, Actinopteri, Perciformes, Gasterosteidae.